GUUUAAUGGCUCUAUUGAGGGUAUUGGGACAGAAGGUGUUUGUGCUGUUUGUCAACAAAAUAGCCAUGGGUAACUAUUAAAGUGUAUGUUUGCCGACUUUUUGAACUCAAUUAUACUGUCAUAAAUGUAACAAGUUCGUGCUUGCGUCAUUUUAUUUAUACAGUUGUGGUUUUGUACGAAUGUGUUCCACGAUUCGUGCUCUUUGGGUAUAAUUCACAGUCCAAGAUUCCUGCCACAAAGUCAUUUUAUCAAUAAAAAAAUCAAUGGUUUUCUAAAUCACAGAAAUCAUUUGUGUCAUGCCACGAUUUGCCAUCUUGGACACAGCGUAUUACUUGUAACCCGAUUAUUUCAUGCCCUUCUUGAAAUCAAUCUCUAUUCUCGGUAGACGAUUUUGUCAUCAUAGAGC
RNAcentral lists this long non-coding RNA (406 nucleotides) under Mytilus galloprovincialis (Mediterranean mussel). The record is from RNAcentral. Lineage: Eukaryota; Metazoa; Mollusca; Bivalvia; Mytilida; Mytilidae.